RNAcentral lists this long non-coding RNA (475 nucleotides) under Fukomys damarensis (Damara mole-rat). RNAcentral's name for it is "lncRNA (ENSFDAG00000029338.1)". The record is from RNAcentral. Lineage: Eukaryota; Metazoa; Chordata; Mammalia; Rodentia; Bathyergidae.
CAGCCAGGGACGGCGAUCAGCAGGCUUCUCCGGCGUCUGCAGCUUCCCUCCCCGGCCCUUGUCAAACUUUAUCAGAGAAAAGCAGCCGCCACCUCUGUCCAGUCCAGAGACAGCCGUCAGCGACCCGGAUGGAGCGGGAGGGGAAGGACUGGAGGACAGAAUUGUACCGUCCAAAUAAUUUGUCAUCAGUGGCCAACAAAUCAUAGGUUCCACUUUGGGCAUUUGGAAAGGACUCCUACAGUCAUUUACCUGUUCCUGAUUUCGAAGGAACUCAAGUGAUACUCAAUCAGACAUAAACUUGAAAAAUCACGUGUAAUGUGGCCCUUGACCAGUAUGUGGGGAUAUGUUCAUGCAUUUGAAAUGAUAACGUCAUUACUCCAGUUACUGCUCCUUUUUAUCAGAGAAAGUUUUCGAGCUGCUCUGUAUCUUCAUGUCAGUAACGAAUAAAACUUGUGUUUAUAAAAAAGACAACGCC